RNAcentral lists this ribosomal RNA (770 nucleotides) under uncultured bacterium. Its description in RNAcentral is "bacterial SSU rRNA". It matches the Rfam family "Bacterial small subunit ribosomal RNA", at positions 116 to 882 of the family's 1533-position model. The record is from RNAcentral.
CGUGGAUUAUCUACCUACUGGUACGGGACAACAGUUGGAAACGACUGCUAAUACCGUAUAAGCUGGUAACGGGAAAGGGGGCCUCUUCUUGAAAGCUCUCGCCAGUAGAUGAGUCCGCGUUUCAUUAGCUAGACGGUGGGGUAACGGCCUACCGUGGCAACGAUGAAUAGCAGGCCUGAGAGGGUGGCCUGCCACACUGGGACUGGAACACGGCCCAGACUCCUACGGGAGGCAGCAGUGGGGAAUAUUGCGCAAUGGACGAAAGUCUGACGCAGCGACGCCGCGUGGAGGAUGAAGGUUUUCGGAUCGUAAACUCCUGUCAAGAGGGAAGAAACCUAUCGAAACUAAUACUUUCGGUAAUUGACGGUACCUCUAGAGGAAGCACCGGCUAAUUCAGUGCCAGCAGCCGCGGUAAUACUGAAGGUGCAAGCGUUAAUCGGAAUCACUGGGCGUAAAGCGCUCGUAGGUGGCUUUGUAAGUCAGGUGUGAAAGCCCACGGCUCAACCGUGAAUUGCACUUGAUACUGCAUCGCUAGAGUAUAGGAGAGGGAAGUGGAAUUUCUGGUGUAGGAGUGAAAUCCGUAGAGAUCAGAAGGAACACCCGUGGCGAAGGGACUUCCUGGACUAUUACUGACACUGAGGAACGAAAGCGUGGGGAGCAAACAGGAUUAGAUACCCUGGUAGUCCACGCCGUAAACGAUGGGUACUAGGUGUCGGGGGCUUGACCUUCGGUGCCGUAGUUAACGCGUUAAGUACCCCGCCUGGGGAGUA